GUCAGAGGCGAUGAAGGACGUGCUAAUCUGCGAUAAGCGUCGGUAAGGUGAUAUGAACCGUUAUAACCGGCGAUUUCCGAAUGGGGAAACCCAGUGUGUUUCGACACACUAUCAUUAACUGAAUCCAUAGGUUAAUGAGGCGAACCGGGGGAACUGAAACAUCUAAGUACCCCGAGGAAAAGAAAUCAACCGAGAUUCCCCCAGUAGCGGCGAGCGAACGGGGAGCAGCCCAGAGCCUGAAUCAGUGUGUGUGUUAGUGGAAGCGUCUGGAAAGGCGCGCGAUACAGGGUGACAGCCCCGUACACAAAAAUGCACAUGCUGUGAGCUCGAUGAGUAGGGCGGGACACGUGGUAUCCUGUCUGAAUAUGGGGGGACCAUCCUCCAAGGCUAAAUACUCCUGACUGACCGAUAGUGAACCAGUACCGUGAGGGAAAGGCGAAAAGAACCCCGGCGAGGGGAGUGAAAAAGAACCUGAAACCGUGUACGUACAAGCAGUGGGAGCACGCUUAGGCGUGUGACUGCGUACCUUUUGUAUAAUGGGUCAGCGACUUAUAUUCUGUAGCAAGGUUAACCGAAUAGGGGAGCCGAAGGGAAACCGAGUCUUAACUGGGCGUUAAGUUGCAGGGUAUAGACCCGAAACCCGGUGAUCUAGCCAUGGGCAGGUUGAAGGUUGGGUAACACUAACUGGAGGACCGAACCGACUAAUGUUGAAAAAUUAGCGGAUGACUUGUGGCUGGGGGGGAAAGGCCAAUCAAACCGGGAGAUAGCUGGUUCUCCCCGAAAGCUAUUUAGGUAGCGCCUCGUGAAUUCAUCUCCGGGGGUAGAGCACUGUUUCGGCAAGGGGGUCAUCCCGACUUACCAACCCGAUGCAAACUGCGAAUACCGGAGAAUGUUAUCACGGGAGACACACGGCGGGUGCUAACGUCCGUCGUGAAGAGGGAAACAACCCAGACCGCCAGCUAAGGUCCCAAAGUCAUGGUUAAGUGGGAAACGAUGUGGGAAGGCCCAGACAGCCAGGAUGUUGGCUUAGAAGCAGCCAUCAUUUAAAGAAAGCGUAAUAGCUCACUGGUCGAGUCGGCCUGCGCGGAAGAUGUAACGGGGCUAAACCAUGCACCGAAGCUGCGGCAGCGACGCUGAUGCGUUGUUGGGUAGGGGAGCGUUCUGUAAGCCUGCGAAGGUGUGCUGUGAGGCAUGCUGGAGGUAUCAGAAGUGCGAAUGCUGACAUAAGUAACGAUAAAGCGGGUGAAAAGCCCGCUCGCCGGAAGACCAAGGGUUCCUGUCCAACGUUAAUCGGGGCAGGGUGAGUCGACCCCUAAGGCGAGGCCGAAAGGCGUAGUCGAUGGGAAACAGGUUAAUAUUCCUGUACUUGGUGUUACUGCGAAGGGGGGACGGAGAAGGCUAUGUUGGCCGGGCGACGGUUGUCCCGGUUUAAGCGUGUAGGCUGGUUUUCCAGGCAAAUCCGGAAAAUCAAGGCUGAGGCGUGAUGACGAGGCACUACGGUGCUGAAGCAACAAAUGCCCUGCUUCCAGGAAAAGCCUCUAAGCAUCAGGUAACAUCAAAUCGUACCCCAAACCGACACAGGUGGUCAGGUAGAGAAUACCAAGGCGCUUGAGAGAACUCGGGUGAAGGAACUAGGCAAAAUGGUGCCGUAACUUCGGGAGAAGGCACGCUGAUAUGUAGGUGAAGUCCCUUGCGGAUGGAGCUGAAAUCAGUCGAAGAUACCAGCUGGCUGCAACUGUUUAUUAAAAACACAGCACUGUGCAAACACGAAAGUGGACGUAUACGGUGUGACGCCUGCCCGGUGCCGGAAGGUUAAUUGAUGGGGUUAGCGCAAGCGAAGCUCUUGAUCGAAGCCCCGGUAAACGGCGGCCGUAACUAUAACGGUCCUAAGGUAGCGAAAUUCCUUGUCGGGUAAGUUCCGACCUGCACGAAUGGCGUAAUGAUGGCCAGGCUGUCUCCACCCGAGACUCAGUGAAAUUGAACUCGCUGUGAAGAUGCAGUGUACCCGCGGCAAGACGGAAAGACCCCGUGAACCUUUACUAUAGCUUGACACUGAACAUUGAGCCUUGAUGUGUAGGAUAGGUGGGAGGCUUUGAAGUGUGGACGCCAGUCUGCAUGGAGCCGACCUUGAAAUACCACCCUUUAAUGUUUGAUGUUCUAACGUUGACCCGUAAUCCGGGUUGCGGACAGUGUCUGGUGGGUAGUUUGACUGGGGCGGUCUCCUCCUAAAGAGUAACGGAGGAGCACGAAGGUUGGCUAAUCCUGGUCGGACAUCAGGAGGUUAGUGCAAUGGCAUAAGCCAGCUUGACUGCGAGCGUGACGGCGCGAGCAGGUGCGAAAGCAGGUCAUAGUGAUCCGGUGGUUCUGAAUGGAAGGGCCAUCGCUCAACGGAUAAAAGGUACUCCGGGGAUAACAGGCUGAUACCGCCCAAGAGUUCAUAUCGACGGCGGUGUUUGGCACCUCGAUGUCGGCUCAUCACAUCCUGGGGCUGAAGUAGGUCCCAAGGGUAUGGCUGUUCGCCAUUUAAAGUGGUACGCGAGCUGGGUUUAGAACGUCGUGAGACAGUUCGGUCCCUAUCUGCCGUGGGCGCUGGAGAACUGAGGGGGGCUGCUCCUAGUACGAGAGGACCGGAGUGGACGCAUCACUGGUGUUCGGGUUGUCAUGCCAAUGGCACUGCCCGGUAGCUAAAUGCGGAAGAGAUAAGUGCUGAAAGCAUCUAAGCACGAAACUUGCCCCGAGAUGAGUUCUCCCUGACCCUUUAAGGGUCCUGAAGGAACGUUGAAGACGACGACGUUGAUAGGCCGGGUGUGUAAGCGCAGCGAUGCGUUGAGCUAACCGGUACUAAUGAACCGUGAGGCUUAACCUU
Molecule: ribosomal RNA, 2866 nt
Filed under: Escherichia coli 7-233-03_S3_C1
Lineage: Bacteria; Pseudomonadati; Pseudomonadota; Gammaproteobacteria; Enterobacterales; Enterobacteriaceae
Description: bacterial LSU rRNA
Rfam family: Bacterial large subunit ribosomal RNA
Source: RNAcentral